UACGGGGGGGGCAAGCGUUGUUCGGAAUUACUGGGCGUAAAGGGCUCGUAGGCGGCCAACUAAGUCAGACGUGAAAUCCCUCGGCUUAACCGGGGAACUGCGUCUGAUACUGGAUGGCUUGAGAUUGGGAGAGGGAUGCGGAAUUCCAGGUGUAGCGGUGAAAUGCGUAGAUAUCUGGAGGAACACCGGUGGCGAAGGCGGCAUCCUGGACCAACACUGACGCUGAGGAACGAAAGCUAGGGGAGCAAACAGG
This 253-nucleotide ribosomal RNA is filed under the name uncultured bacterium. RNAcentral describes it as "partial 16S ribosomal RNA". It matches the Rfam family "Bacterial small subunit ribosomal RNA", at positions 524 to 776 of the family's 1533-position model. The record is from RNAcentral.